RNAcentral lists this small RNA (1740 nucleotides) under Arabidopsis thaliana (thale cress). RNAcentral describes it as "ATSL289580". The record is from RNAcentral. Lineage: Eukaryota; Viridiplantae; Streptophyta; Magnoliopsida; Brassicales; Brassicaceae.
AAAACCCAGAAAUAUUUUAUUUUCAAUUUUGUUGGUUGAAAAUGAUAAAUGUGUAAAUACUUAUGUUUAUAAGUGUGUAUAUCGAAAUUCUAUUUGUUUUUGUAGAUAUAAUCAUGUUUUCAGUUGCAUUUACUCGGUUUCUCAUGAAUUUAUGAUGUUGUUGGGUAAUGGAUAUUCCCGUAUUUAUUAUGGUCGGUGAGGGGAGAUGCAAAGAAGAAGAAUAGAAAUUUAAACUAAAGAAAGACAUGUUUGGUCGCUGUGUACGUGUUACGGAAAACAUGACGUACACGGAAUUUGUACGUACACUAAGCGAGGCUUUCAGUUUGAAGUCCACAGAGAUCAAUCCCAUAAUUAGUUACUGGAUGCCCAGAGAGAUGUUAGUGAUGAUAGAUACUAAACGCCCUCCUGUCUACAUUGACAGUCAAGUGGAGUUGAAUACGUUCUUUAUGAUUCGUGGUAGGUAUCCUUCUCUCAACUUGUUUGUCUCUUUCAUUACAACCGUCAAGACACUCAGGAAUAAUGUCUCUAGGGCUCAUGAUGAUGAUGCUGAAAGUGACCGUGUUUCAAAUGUUGAUGAAAAUAAUGAGGCCGUAGAUGAGCAAGACGACGUUGAAGACGAUAAAACAGAUGAGGAUGAAGAGGAGGGGGACAACGAAGAUGGUGAUGGGUAUGAUGAUUAUCAGGGUGACGAUGGAUCUAUGGGGGGAAGUACCCUCGAUCCUACUAAUGAUGGUAGUGAAAGUUGUGGCGAAGAUUAUGAUUACGACAAGUGGAACGAUGUAAUUGUAGAAGAAUAUGGAAUAGGGAAUGUUGAGGAGAACGUCAUUCUCACACCAGGGGAAUUCAGUCGUCUGUUGGCAGAGUGUACGUACACAAGUCAGCGUGUACCUGGCGGAGAUAACAUUUCUCACUCGGGUGACCGUACACCAGAUGUGACUCCAAGAAGUAUGUGUCAACAUCGUUUGUACCAAUGUACGUACACUAUAGAUUGAGAAGUGUUUUUAAGAACAGAAAAUCAUACAACAAACAAUGUCUUAUCUCAGUCACUGCCAAUAUUGGUUUAAUAUUGUAUCAAUAAAUUUUUCUUAGUAAAUUUAAUUCACAAACAAAGAUGUACGUAUAUUAUUACACAUGUACAUACAUUAAUUUACCAACAAAAAUGUACGUACAUUAUUUCACCAUCUAUUUUUAUUUAAUUAUUAUGUAUAUAUUGAGAUUAUUGAGAUAUAAGAAUACGUAAUAAAAUAGUUUGAGUUAUUAGAAAUCGUCCCAUAUACGUUCCAAUAAAUAAUUUCGUGUACGUACACUGUAAAUUGAAUAUACGUACACAGAAAAAAUUCGAUGAAGGGUAUAAUUGUAAUUUUCCAGUCAUCUUCAACCUGUGUAUCCUUUUCUACAAACCUAAUUUUGCGGCCGUCUUUAUCAGUUUUCUCAAAAUCUCAUUUUUGUUUACGUUUUGAUUACUAUUUAUAAAUAAAUCUUGUAAACCUAAAGUGUUUGAAUCUAUGAGCUAUCUUUAGUUUAAAAAGCUAAAGUGUUUGAAUCUAUGAGCUUUUUUUUUUGCAUUUUGUUCAUCUCUGAAAACAAGAAAUUUGUUCCUCAAUUUUGGAGUUCAAUGGAGAGAUGUCAAAAUAUGAAGGAGUGAAUAAUGAAUUUUGAACUUCUUUCUACUUCUCUCUCGAAUUUCUCCGUCUCUUUCUCUUUUUCUUCUUCUUCGAUUUCUUUGUUUCAGUUUUUUUU